RNAcentral lists this unclassified non-coding RNA (680 nucleotides) under Hevea brasiliensis (rubber tree). Lineage: Eukaryota; Viridiplantae; Streptophyta; Magnoliopsida; Malpighiales; Euphorbiaceae. The record is from RNAcentral.
CCUGAACCGUGGCCACCCCUACUCAAGACCACCCUGGACCCAGUAACACUGAACUAAAAGCUCAUUUGUAAUUGAACUUUAGCAAAUGGACGAAACUGAUUUAGCUCAUUUAAAUAACAAAGGAACUAAGCUCCGCUAAUAUGUAGCUGCCUUACUGAAAAUGAACUUAAGCUUGAAUUUGGCUGGUAAGGCUCAAAGCUCAAGCUCUACUUCGACUCACAUCGGCAAAUUGAAAUUACAUGCAAGGAAAUUGCAAACCAAUUGAACAUAUAAAACAACUUUCAACUUGUGUUCAGAUGAAGGAAAAAAUCAGAAACUAGUUCUGGAUAUAAACGAAUUUCAAUUUCUAUAUCAUUAAUUAAAUGCUUAGAUUCAUCCAAAAGCAGCAUUUGGAACUGUGACAGAUUUGUAAGCCUGUUCACAAAAAGCCUAAUUCAAUUCAUAAAUGCUCAGGCAGCAUUAUUUAUAUCAUUCAAUUCACAAAACGCCAGUUCACAUAUCAACAUCCCAUUCCAAUUCUAAUAAAAAGUUAACCAUUAACAAGUAAAUGUAGAGCUUUUAUAACCAGGAAACCAACAAGGUAAAUAGGCAUCAAAAUUAUGUAUGAAGCACAGGAAAAUUACAUGAAAAAUAUUUUUUUUAACAGAAUUAAGGGACAAAGUUUCAACUGGAAAGCUCAC